UUAAUUAUUAACAGUACUUAACAUGACUUACGCCUUGAUGAAAGCUUCCGUUACGCUUACGGAAAGCUUCCGUAUGAAUCGCCAAUGCUGGUGGUGGAUUAUAGAUAUUAAUUUAUUUACAUAAACGUCAGAGUGCCUGGCCGUUGCAACGACUCAAGAAUUUUCAAAGACCUUUCCAAUGACAACAACCCACAAGCAGAGGAAAUAAGAAAAGCAAUAGCUGAUUAUUUUGUUUCUUCACAUGCAUCUUCAGGUGGUUCUUCAGACGAUUAUGAAACGCGGAUGGUAAUUGAUCCACUAUCGAUUGGAGAUGAUAAACAAAACCAAUGAUGAAUUAACUGCAACAGACAUAAUAGUUUAAUAUAUAAAACAUUUUCUUAAUACGUACUUGUAAA
This is a long non-coding RNA of Teleopsis dalmanni, 395 nucleotides long. RefSeq lists it as uncharacterized. The transcript has 3 exons. The record is from RefSeq and is a predicted model, not a curated record. Lineage: Eukaryota; Metazoa; Arthropoda; Insecta; Diptera; Diopsidae.